UUGCCUCAGUAACGGCGAGUGAAGCGGCAACAGCUCAAAUUUGAAAUCUGGCUCUUUCAGGGUCCGAGUUGUAAUUUGCAGAGGAUGCUUCGGGUACGGCGCCGGUCUAAGUUCCUUGGAACAGGACGUCACAGAGGGUGAGAAUCCCGUACGUGACCGGACGCCACGCCCGUGUGAAGCUCCUUCGACGAGUCGAGUUGUUUGGGAAUGCAGCUCAAAAUGGGUGGUAAAUUUCAUCUAAAGCUAAAUAUUGGCCAGAGACCGAUAGCGCACAAGUAGAGUGAUCGAAAGAUGAAAAGCACUUUGGAAAGAGAGUCAAACAGUACGUGAAAUUGUUGAAAGGGAAGCGCUUGCAACCAGACUUGCCCGCGGGCGAUCAACCGGUAUUCUUACCGGUGCACUCGCCCGUGGUCAGGCCAGCAUCGGUUUGGGCGGCCGGACAAAGUCCCCUGGAAUGUAGCUCCUCUCGGGGAGUGUUAUAGCCAGGGGUGAAAUGCGGCCCGCCCGGACCGAGGACCGCGCUUCGGCUAGGAUGCUGGCGUAAUGGUUGUAAGCGACCCGUCUUGAAACACGGACCAAGGAGUCUAACAUCUAUGCGAGUGUUUGGGUGUCAAACCCAUGCGCGUAAUGAAAGUGAACGGAGGUGGGAACCCCUAAGGGUGCACCAUCGACCGAUCCUGAUGUCUUCGGAUGGAUUUGAGUAAGAGCAUAGCUGUUGGGACCCGAAAGAUGGUGAACUAUGCCUGAAUAGGGUGAAGCCAGAGGAAACUCUGGUGGAGG
Molecule: ribosomal RNA, 780 nt
Filed under: Acarospora bohlinii
Lineage: Eukaryota; Fungi; Ascomycota; Lecanoromycetes; Acarosporales; Acarosporaceae
Description: partial large subunit ribosomal RNA
Rfam family: Eukaryotic large subunit ribosomal RNA
Source: RNAcentral